AACGAACGCUGGCGGCAGGCUUAACACAUGCAAGUCGAACGGAUCCUUCGGGAUUAGUGGCAGACGGGUGAGUAACGCGUGGGAACGUACCCUUUGCUACGGAAUAACUCAGGGAAACUUGAGCUAAUACCGUAUGUGCCCUACGGGGGAAAGAUUUAUCGGCAAAGGAUCGGCCCGCGUUGGAUUAGCUAGUUGGUGGGGUAAUGGCCUACCAAGGCGACGAUCCAUAGCUGGUCUGAGAGGAUGAUCAGCCACACUGGGGCUGAGACACGGCCCAGACUCCUACGGGAGGCAGCAGUGGGGAAUAUUGGACAAUGGGCGCAAGCCUGAUCCAGCCAUGCCGCGUGAGUGAUGAAGGUCUUAGGAUUGUAAAGCUCUUUCACCGGUGAAGAUAGUGACGGUAGCCGGAGAAGAAGCCCCGGCUAACUUCGUG
This 433-nucleotide ribosomal RNA is filed under the name uncultured bacterium. RNAcentral describes it as "partial 16S ribosomal RNA". It matches the Rfam family "Bacterial small subunit ribosomal RNA", at positions 29 to 507 of the family's 1533-position model. The record is from RNAcentral.